Molecule: ribosomal RNA, 118 nt
Filed under: Clostridiales bacterium
Lineage: Bacteria; Bacillati; Bacillota; Clostridia; Eubacteriales
Source: RNAcentral
UCCGGUGAUGACGCGCCUAUGGGGAACAUCCGUACCCAUACCGAACACGACGAUUAAGACGUAGGCGGCCGAAGGUACUUGACUGGUGACGGUCCGGGAGAAUAGGAGAUUGCCGGAU